Molecule: long non-coding RNA, 303 nt
Organism: Paramormyrops kingsleyae
Lineage: Eukaryota; Metazoa; Chordata; Actinopteri; Osteoglossiformes; Mormyridae
Source: RefSeq, a predicted model, not a curated record
UGGGUCUGCUUUCUUGACAGUAAUGUUCUCAAGCUUGAUUUCCAGGCUCAGAGGAUGGACGGUUUUCUCCAGCACCAGAAGAAUUGGAUCAGGAUCAGAGCAGAACAUUUUACGCUGGAUUUCUUGGAGGUCUUGCUCUGCCGUCAGCCAAAUCAGCUCCUCUUCAAGUGAACAAACAAGAGCUGGAGGAGGGUUUGGUGUAUGCCAUUGGAAUUUUAACAGCAAGCCAGCGUGUGGAGACCCAGAGAGGGGAGCCGGAUAAGAGGUUCGACACGCCAGAUCCGCCGCUCCCGUCGGGACGGA